Molecule: ribosomal RNA, 492 nt
Filed under: uncultured bacterium
Lineage: Bacteria
Description: partial 16S ribosomal RNA
Rfam family: Bacterial small subunit ribosomal RNA
Source: RNAcentral
AGUGAACGCUGGCGGUAGGCCUAACACAUGCAAGUCGAACGGCAGCACAGUAAGAGCUUGCUCUUACGGGUGGCGAGUGGCGGACGGGUGAGGAAUACAUCGGAAUCUACUUUUUCGUGGGGGAUAACGUAGGGAAACUUACGCUAAUACCGCAUACGACCUACGGGUGAAAGCAGGGGAUCUUCGGACCUUGCGCGAUUGAAUGAGCCGAUGUCGGAUUAGCUAGUUGGCGGGGUAAAGGCCCACCAAGGCGACGAUCCGUAGCUGGUCUGAGAGGAUGAUCAGCCACACUGGAACUGAGACACGGUCCAGACGCCUACGGGAGGCAGCAGUGGGGAAUAUUGGACAAUAGGCGCAAGCCUGAUCCAGCCAUACCGCGUGGGUGAAGAAGGCCUUCGGGUUGUAAAGCCCUUUUGUUGGGAAAGAAAAGCAGCAGGUUAAUACCCCGCUGUUCUGACGGUACCCAAAGAAUAAGCACCGGCUAACUUCGUG